Molecule: transfer RNA, 65 nt
Filed under: Eutreptiella gymnastica
Lineage: Eukaryota; Euglenozoa; Euglenophyceae; Eutreptiales; Eutreptiaceae
Source: RNAcentral
GCAGUGUCCCAGUGGUGUAUGCACUUGCCUGCAGAAGAAAAGAGGUUGGUUCAAAUACCUCCAUU